CUUUAGCUGUCUUUACUUUUUCUGUUCUCAGAUCUAUCUUUUUCCUGUCAUAAAAUAAAUGGAGAAAAAGGUUUCUUUCCUCACCUUAUUGUUACUAACAUUUGUGGGAUUUUCUCUUCUAAUUUCCACAAUCGCAGUUCCUUCUUUAAGAAGUCUUAAGACAAUUACAGAAAAUCAAGAUUCUCAUAACAAGGUGGUAUUGAUGGAUGAGUUUGAGAAAAAGAGGGAAUUGUUGGUGGAAAGAGAUGACUAUGCAGGAACAGGUGCCAAUAACCAUCAUGACCCAAAGCCUCCUGGCUCCCAAUGAGGAAAUCAAAAUUAACUAAUUAAUUACGUUUUAAAAUUAUGUUCUUGUGUACAAAACACAUGAAAUAAAGAUGAUCAAGGAAGGAUAUAUGUGUAGUACUAUUCUACUCAAGUAGAUGUAAUUAUAUAUGUUGCUUGUUUUAUCUUCAUAUUAGAACCUACAUUAUUGUCGUUUCUUCCUU
Molecule: long non-coding RNA, 488 nt
Organism: Solanum dulcamara
Lineage: Eukaryota; Viridiplantae; Streptophyta; Magnoliopsida; Solanales; Solanaceae
Exons: 3
Source: RefSeq, a predicted model, not a curated record